Molecule: ribosomal RNA, 433 nt
Filed under: uncultured bacterium
Lineage: Bacteria
Description: partial 16S ribosomal RNA
Rfam family: Bacterial small subunit ribosomal RNA
Source: RNAcentral
AACGAACGCUGGCGGCAUGCCUAACACAUGCAAGUCGAACGAGACCUUCGGGUCUAGUGGCGCACGGGUGCGUAACGCGUGGGAACCUGCCCUUAGGUUCGGAAUAACUCCCCGAAAGGGGUGCUAAUACCGGAUAAUGUCUUCGGACCAAAGAUUUAUCGCCUUUGGAUGGGCCCGCGUUGGAUUAGCUAGUUGGUAGGGUAAAAGCCUACCAAGGCGACGAUCCAUAGCUGGUCUGAGAGGAUGAUCAGCCACACUGGGACUGAGACACGGCCCAGACUCCUACGGGAAGCAGCAGUGGGGAAUAUUGGACAAUGGGCGAAAGCCUGAUCCAGCAAUGCCACGUGAGUGAUGAAGGCCUUAGGGUUGUAAAGCUCUUUUACCCGGGAUGAUAAUGACGGUACCGGGAGAAUAAGCUCCGGCUAACUCCGUG